RNAcentral lists this long non-coding RNA (2735 nucleotides) under Aquilegia coerulea. Its description in RNAcentral is "long non-coding RNA (ACOE_LNC000765)". Lineage: Eukaryota; Viridiplantae; Streptophyta; Magnoliopsida; Ranunculales; Ranunculaceae. The record is from RNAcentral.
GUCCUUAGGCCAAAAAAGAUAAGAAAGCGACAAUGCGAAAGAAGCUUAAAGCUAUUGAACAACAAGAACAAGCACGCAACAAAGAUUACGAAUCUAAGGUAAAUUUCUUGUUUUUCUUUUUAAUAACUUUUUUAGAUUUUUUGUUUUAUUUUAAUAAAGUAGAUGAGUAAUGUAUUGUUCAAAAUUUAUUUCAAGAAAUCAUCAAUCUGUAUAGUUGAUUAAUAUGUUAAUCAACUGUACAGAAUGAUUAAGUGUUGAUUUCUGUAUAGUUGAUUAAUGAUUAAGUGUUGAUUUCUGUAUAGUUGAUUAACAUAUUAAGUGUUGAUUUCUGUAUACUUGAUUAGUCUAUAGUUGAUUAACAUAUUAAGUGUUGAUUUCUGUAUAGUUGAUAAAUGUAUAGUUGGUUAACAUAUUAAGUGUUGAUUAAGCAUUAAGCAUUAAGUGUUUGUUUCAUUAAGCAUUAAGCAUUAAGUGCUUCUUAAGUGGUGGACCAGGUUAAAAUUCAAAAAUAAGUGUUUUUUAAGUUGUUUGUUUAGAACAAACAUUAAGAACUAAAUGGGAUAUUUCAGCGAUUUUGGCCCAGCGAAAAUCUCACGCUUAAUUUAACUUCUUAAUGCUUGUUGUAUUAUUUAGACAAUUCUACCCUUAUAAAAAUUGUUUUUAUCAUCCAUAACCAUUAAGUAAUAUCACAGUCAGAUUCAUUGGCUUAGUUAAUGGUCUUUCCUUUGUCUGAUCACUUUGAAAUUUUUACCAUAAGUUCCUGAAGAUUUCUGUUAUAUAAUAUCUAAAAUUUAGAAUUUUUAGACGAUCGGUUUGAAAGUUACAGAUUUUUUUGUGGUUGUUAUGUUUUAUAAGAAAAAUUACGUUACAGUCAGAUUCGUUUGCUUAAUAAGGGGACUUUCUUUUGUCUGAUCAUUUUAAAAGUUUUACUAUAUGUUCCUGACGAUUUCUAUUGUAUCAUAUCCUAAAUUUGGAAUUUUUAAACGAGUCGUUUGAAAGUUACAGAUUUCUUUGUGAUUGUAAUGUUUUAGAAGAAAAAUUACAGUAAGAUUCGUUUGCUUAGUAAAGGAUCUUUCCUUUGUCUGUUCACUUUGAAAUAUUUUCCAUAUGUUCAUGACGAUUUCUGUUGUACCAUAUCCAAAAUUUAGAAUUUUUAGACGAGCCGUUUAAAAGGUUGAGAUUAUUUUUUUUAAAUAUCAUGUUUCAGAAGAAAAAUUGGCGUGUAUAGUUUUGUUGUUAGAACAUUUUUCUGUUUGUACGACGUAACAAUAUAGUGUAGUUACACAAAUAUUUUGGUUAAGGGUGAAACAUUCUCAUCUGAAGCACAACACUGAAUGGUCAACUUGCACAACCAGAGUGCAAAUCAACUUUAGGUUUUUGGGUUAUGUGAUAAGGUACUGUGUAUUGUCAAAAUAUUUUUUCAAUAAUAGGGUAACAUGGUCAAAAUCACACUUAUGCAUAAACAAACAAAUCAAAAACAGAACUUCUUAAAAAUGAUAACCAAACAACUUUUUCAGCAUUCAGUGUUCAGCAUCCAGCAUUAAGUAUCCAGCAUUCAGCAUUUUAAACAAACACACCCUAAGUGUUGAUUUCUAUAUAGUUGAUUAAUGUAUUAAUCAUUGAUUUCUGUAUAGUUGAUUAAUAGUUGACUAAUGAUUCAUUCUUUUCAGGAGAGUGCACCUGAAGAACCACAUAAAUCAUCUCGAAAACGUAAAUAUUUCACAAGAUCAUCAUCUAAGAAAUCACCUAAACCAAAACCAACAGCGAAAAAGAGGAAGAAGGAUAGUGAGCCAAAUGUUGAAUUUCUAAAGAAGAAGAAGAAGGAUACUUCAUUCUUCAGAUGUUCCAUGGAACCUCUUAGAAGUUUAGCUGCAACGAUAAAGAGCAAGAUGAGUGUUGAACAUCUGCAGUUUUUAGAGGACACAAAAUUUGGAAGUCUGUACAAUCUCAUGCAUCUUGGUAUGAUUGAACCAUGCAAGCCAAAGAAUGAAUCAUUUAGAACAGCGAUCUUCUGCAUUCUCAAUUGCUACUCACCUGAAGACUGUGGUUUUAGGAUUGGGAAUAAGAUGAUGAAGUUUAGAGUUGAAGAUGUGGCAGUUCUGUUUGGUUUGAUGGGUUGUGGAGAGGUUAUUGAAAAAAAAGCAUGCAGUACUGACAAACAUCGUAAAAUCGCUUUCAUUAGUAACAACUUUACUGAGGAUAUCGACGAUGUUACAAAGGAUAAGGUGAUGAACAAGAUUCUAACACUAGUGGAUGAAGAUAGACACAAGAAGGAAGACCUUGGAUUCCUCAUCAUCAUCUACAUGUUCAUCACCGUAUUUUUCUCAAAUUCAGCGAGCAGGGCUUUGUGGAAUCACUUGAAGCAUCUUGACAGCUUGAAGGGGAUGAAUUCUGUUAACUGGGCAGAGGCUGUUCAUUUCUUCCUUGUAAACAAGUUGAAUGAAAAUCAUCAGAGGAAAAACUUGCCAAUAGGACACAAGAAGCGGCAGGAAGAAACUAUUAGUUAUAAAUAGUUCAUUAAUAUGUUAAUCAACUGUACUAUUAGUUGAUUAACUUAUUAAUCAACUCGACUAUUUAUUAAUCAACUCCACUAUUAGUUAUAAAUAGUUGGUUAAUAUGUUAAUCAACUUUACAAGUAGUUGAUUAACAUAUUAAUCAACCCCUCUAAUAUAAGUUGAUGAAUAUUAAUCAACUUAUAAAUAGGUGAUUAAUAUAUUAAUCAACUCCAAUAUUAC